UACGUAGGGGGGCAAGCGUUUGUCCGGAAUUAUUGGGCGUAAAGAGCUCGUAGGCGGUCUGUCGCGUCUGCUGUGAAAACCCGGGGCUUAACCCUGGGCUUGCAGUGGAUACGGGGCAGACUAGAGGCAGGUAGGGGAGAAUGGAAUUCCCGGUGUAGCGGUGAAAUGCGCAGAUAUCGGGAGGAACACCGGUGGCGAAGGCGGUUCUCUGGGCCUGACCUGACGCUGAGGAGCGAAAGCGUGGGGAGCGAACAGG
RNAcentral lists this ribosomal RNA (256 nucleotides) under uncultured bacterium. RNAcentral describes it as "partial 16S ribosomal RNA". It matches the Rfam family "Bacterial small subunit ribosomal RNA", at positions 524 to 776 of the family's 1533-position model. The record is from RNAcentral.